This 33-nucleotide non-coding RNA is filed under the name unclassified sequences. The record is from Rfam.
CAAGCGAAACCCGAAAAGCUUAUAGAGUAGGGG